RNAcentral lists this unclassified non-coding RNA (226 nucleotides) under uncultured fungus. Its description in RNAcentral is "sequence contains ITS1, 5.8S rRNA gene". The record is from RNAcentral. Lineage: Eukaryota; Fungi.
UCUCCGUUGGUGAACCAGCGGAGGGAUCAUUACUGAGUGAGGGUUUAACCGCCCGACCUCCAACCCUUUGUGAACCAACACUGUUGCUUCGGGGGCGACCCUGCCUUUCGGGCAGUGCGCCCCCGGAGGAUAUCAAAACGCUGCAUCUUUGCGUCGGAGUAUCAAUCAAAUUGAACAAAACUUUCAACAACGGAUCUCUUGGUUCUGGCAUCGAUAAGAACGCAGC